CCUACGGGUGGCAGCAGUGGGGAAUAUUGGGCAAUGGGCGCAAGACUGACCCAGCAACGCCGCGUGAAGGAAGAAGGCUUUCGGGUUGUAAACUUCUUUUCUCAGGGACGAAGCAAGUGACGGUACCUGAGGAAUAAGCCACGGCUAACUACGUGCCAGCAGCCACGGGAAUACGUAGGUGGCAAGAGUUAUCCGGAUUGACUGGGUGUAAAGGGCGUGUAGGCGGGACUGCAAGUCAGAUGUGAAAACCACGGGCUCAACCUGUGGCCUGCAUUUGAAACUGUAGUUCUUGAGUACUGGAGAGGCAGACGGAAUUCCUAGUGUAGCGGUGAAAUGCGUAGAUAUUAGGAGGAACACCAGUGGCGAAGGCGGUCUGCUGGACCGCAACUGACGCUGAGGCGCGAAAGCGUGGGGAGCGAAAGGGAUUAGAUACCCGGGUAGUC
Molecule: ribosomal RNA, 443 nt
Filed under: uncultured bacterium
Lineage: Bacteria
Description: partial 16S ribosomal RNA
Rfam family: Bacterial small subunit ribosomal RNA
Source: RNAcentral